This 443-nucleotide ribosomal RNA is filed under the name uncultured bacterium. RNAcentral's name for it is "partial 16S ribosomal RNA". It matches the Rfam family "Bacterial small subunit ribosomal RNA", at positions 338 to 795 of the family's 1533-position model. The record is from RNAcentral.
CCUACGUGUGUCAGCAGUGGGGAAUAUUUGGCAAUGGGCGCAAGCCUGACCCAGCAACGCCGCGUGAAGGAAGAAGGCUUUCGGGUUGUAAACUUCUUUUCUCAGGGACGAAGCAAGUGACGGUACCUGAGGAAUAAGCCACGGCUAACUACGUGCCAGCAUCCGCGGUAAUACGUAGGUGGCAAGCGUUAUCCGGAUUUACUGGGUGUAAAGGGCGUGUAGGCGGGGACGCAAGUCAGAUGUGAAAACCACGGGCUCAACCUGUGGCCUGCAUUUGAAACUGUGUUUCGUGAGUACUGGAGAGGCAGACGGAAUUCCUAGUGUAGCGGGGAAAUGCGUAGAGAUUAGGAGGAACACCAGUGGCGAAGGCGGUCUGCUGGACAGCAACUGACGCUGAGGCGCGAAAGCGUGGGGAGCAAACAGGAUUAGAUACCCGGGUAGUC